GACGAACGCUGGCGGCGUGCUUAACACAUGCAAGUCGAACGGAAAGGCCCUGCUUUUGUGGGUUGCUCGAGUGGCGAACGGGUGAGUAACACGUGAGUAACCUGCCCUUGACUUUGGGAUAACUUCAGGAAACUGGGGCUAAUACCGGAUAGGAGCUCCUGCUGCAUGGUGGGGGUUGGAAAGUUUCGGCGGUUGGGGAUGGACUCGCGGCUUAUCAGCUUGUUGGUGGGGUAGUGGCUUACCAAGGCUUUGACGGGUAGCCUGCCUGAGGGGGUGACCGGGCACAGUGGGAUUGGGAAGGGGCACAGACGGCUACGGGAGGAAGCAGUGGAGAACAGUGCACGAAGGGCGGAGGCAGGAUGGAGGAACGUCGGGUGGGAGAGGACGGCUUUCGGGUUGGAAAACGCUUGCGCCUGUGACGAAGCGUGAGUGAGGGUAAUGGGUAAAGAAGCACGGGCUAACUACGU
This 467-nucleotide ribosomal RNA is filed under the name uncultured bacterium. RNAcentral describes it as "partial 16S ribosomal RNA". It matches the Rfam family "Bacterial small subunit ribosomal RNA", at positions 28 to 506 of the family's 1533-position model. The record is from RNAcentral.